GCGAGUGAAGCGGCAACAGCUCAAAUUUGAAAUCUGGCCCCCUAGGGGGUCCGAGUUGUAAUUUGCAGAGGAUGCUUUUGGCGAGGCGCCGGCCGAGUGCCCUGGAAUGGGACGCCGUAGAGGGUGAGAGCCCCGUACGGCCGGACGUCGAGCCUCUGUAAAGCUCCCUCGACGAGUCGAGUAGUUUGGGAAUGCUGCUCUAAACGGGAGGUAAACCCCUUCUAAAGCUAAAUACCGGCCAGAGACCGAUAGCGCACAAGUAGAGUGAUCGAAAGAUGAAAAGCACUUUGAAAAGAGAGUUAAACAGCACGUGAAAUUGUUGAAAGGGAAGCGCUUGUGGCCAGACUUGCGCCCGGCGGCUCAGCCGUCCCUCGUGGGCGGUGCACUCCGCCGGGCUCAGGCCAGCAUCAGCUCGCUGCUGGGGAGAAAGGCGGUGGGAACGUGGCUCUUCGGAGUGUUAUAGCCCGCCGCCAUGCCCUCCAGCGGGCUGAGGUUCGCGCCUUAGGGCAAGGAUGCUGGCGUAAUGGCCAUCAGCGACCCGUCUUGAAACACGGACCAAGGAGUCGUCCUAGCAUGCGAGUGUUCGGGUGCCAAACCCCUACGCGAAAUGAAAGUGAACGGAGGUGAGAGCUUCGGCGCAUCAUCGACCGAUCCUGAUGUUUUCGGAUGGAUUUGAGUAGGAGCAUGCUGGGCCGGACCCGAAAGAAGGUGAACUAUGCUUGGAUAGGGCAAAGCCAGAGGAAACUCUGGUGGAGGCUCGCAGCGGUUCUGACGUGCAAAUCGAUCGUCAAAUCUGAG
Molecule: ribosomal RNA, 798 nt
Filed under: Corollospora maritima
Lineage: Eukaryota; Fungi; Ascomycota; Sordariomycetes; Microascales; Halosphaeriaceae
Description: partial large subunit ribosomal RNA
Rfam family: Eukaryotic large subunit ribosomal RNA
Source: RNAcentral